This 403-nucleotide ribosomal RNA is filed under the name uncultured prokaryote. Its description in RNAcentral is "bacterial SSU rRNA". It matches the Rfam family "Bacterial small subunit ribosomal RNA", at positions 355 to 774 of the family's 1533-position model. The record is from RNAcentral.
UCGGGACUAUCGCUUAAUGGGCGAAAGCCUGCAGCAGCAACGCCGCGUGGACGAAGAAGGCCUUCGAGUUGUAAAGUUCUUUUAUAAGGGCUGAGGAAGGACAGUACCAUAUGAAUAAGUCUCGGCUAACUACGUGCCAGCAGCCGCGGUAACACGUAGGAGGCAAACGUUAUCCGGAUUUACUGGGCGUAAAGCGCGUGUAGGUGGUUCUGUAAGUAGGGCGUGAAAGCUCCUGGCUCAACUGGGAGAGGCCGUUCUAAACUGUAGAGCUAGAGGAAGGCAGAGGUAGAUGGAACUCCGGGAGUAGUGGUGAAAUGCGUAGAGAUCAGGAAGAACACCAGAGGCGAAAGCGAACUACUGUGCCUUAACAGACACUGAGACGCGAAAGCCAGGAUAGCAAACG